This is a non-coding RNA of Monodelphis domestica (gray short-tailed opossum), 1697 nucleotides long. The record is from RefSeq and is a predicted model, not a curated record. Lineage: Eukaryota; Metazoa; Chordata; Mammalia; Didelphimorphia; Didelphidae.
GUCUGCUUGGUGUCACAGGAGAGGGCAAACAGUGCUUGGGGACUACCACCAGAAGUCUGUAAUCCAGAAGAAGCCUCCUGGCAAGCUAGAACCAGCUCAGGGAGGGGGCAGGCUUCUCCUUUUGUUUCUAGUCCCCCAGGAGUGGCAUGCCCUAGGCUCCAGGUCACAUGGUCAGCUUGCUGGAGCCUCGAGUCCAACCGGCCAGCGCCUGUGGAGCAGCGGAAAGAGCCUCUGGGGCGCCUGGUUAACCCCUCAGUGGCUGGCCCGCUCCUCUCCCACGCACCACACCCAGGGGGAUCGACUCGGAUAAUCACUCAGAAUUUCCUGCCUCCCCACUCUGGGCCUGGGACGGCGUCGGAGCCAGGAUCUUGGCCACAAUAGAGUCUGGGACUUCCUGCCCCGCUAUGGCUCGUAGAGACUGUGAGAACUGGGCCAAGCGCUCCAUUUAGCUCCCUCCCUCCCCUGGCCUGGCUAGAGCCUGGGGUGGUGGUGGGGGCGGAGGAGAGCUCGAGAAGCGGUGGAGGUCUGGAGGAAGUCAGGCAGGGGCGACCCCCGUUCUGAGCCCCAGAGACAACAUCCUGUGGGAUCGCAGAACUGCUUGGUACCCCCUUCCUUCUCCUUCACCCUCCCCAUCCUGUCACCCUCUCGAGGUCCCCAGGGUCUGUCUCCCCAAUCGCUGCUGGGCAGGUGCUCCUGGGGGUGGGGAUGGGGGUGGGGAUAGAGGGGAAAGGAUCGGAGGCUGUUGCUAUGGAGCUUGAAGGCCUGGGGCGGGCAGUGGCCGCGGGGAGCCUGGUUUCCAGGGCUUCGUGUGCGGACGCAGUGGGCUGUAGAGAUUCCAGGCCUCCGCUUGUCCGCGCUCCAGGCGGCGGGCGGGCUGGCGCGGGCUCCUCUAGGGCGGCUGAGCGCGGCGCCGGGCUCUCUGCGGCUCGCCGGCUCCCUGCCUCUGCAGAGCUGGCCUUAAUCACGGAGGUGAUAAUGAGCCCGCCUUGCAGGAGGGAGGCAUACUCUUGGCCCUGCCAGCGACACACAGGCUUAUGGGGUACACGCAGAAACUAGAGGCAUCUAUAUGCAUCCCAAGUGCCCACCGACUCAGAGCCACCCGUGUACACACAUGAACAUAUAUUGUUUGUGCAAGACAUACACAUGUAACUAAACACAAGACAUAGGUAUAUAGUAUUUAGGGCUUGGAAGAAACCUUGGAAAGCAGAUGGGGAAAUUUGCAGCGUCAAGAGGGAAAGUGACCUGCUCAAACUGACCAGAGCUGGGAUUUAAAACUAGUUUAUUCCAAGCCCAGUGUUCCCCUGCCUCCCCCCUCCCUACAAUACUCUGCCUAUAGCUCAUGCUAUUAACCCGUGCAUUUAAAUAUAUUCCCCAAUGAUCUCUUCCAGCGACUGGUUGCCAACCCACCAGCCCACAGUAUUCUUUUGCUAUCACUGCGGAGAGAGAGCUCCCCAGUUUUUCAGGGUUAGGGCCGGAUUGUCCAGAAUAGGGGUGGGGGUGGGGAGUUGGGCUCUGAGCCAAGAACAGUAUAGCACUUCGGCCUUUGGGAUGAAAGGGGCAGGGAGGGGACCAGGACUAUUAUUAAAAUGUAGAGAACCCAUAAAGAGGAAAUAUCUUUGGUCUGGGAGUAAGGGCUUUUUUGGCUGUAGUCUAGCCUCUGCAAAUGGAUUAAAACUGUACGACCUUGAACAAAAUUA